GGGGAUGUAGCUCAGCUGGUAGAGCGUCGGCGUGGCACGCCGAAGGCCAGGGGUUCGAGUCCCCUCUUCUCCA
This 73-nucleotide transfer RNA is filed under the name Micromonospora musae. Its description in RNAcentral is "Micromonospora sp. MS1-9 tRNA-Ala". It matches the Rfam family "tRNA". Rfam says of the family: Transfer RNA (tRNA) molecules are approximately 80 nucleotides in length. Their secondary structure includes four short double-helical elements and three loops (D, anti-codon, and T loops). The record is from RNAcentral. Lineage: Bacteria; Bacillati; Actinomycetota; Actinomycetes; Micromonosporales; Micromonosporaceae.